AUUGAACGCUGGCGGCAUGCUUUACACAUGCAAGUCGAACGGUAACAGGCCGCAAGGUGCUGACGAGUGGCGAACGGGUGAGUAAUGCAUCGGAACGUGCCCAGUCGUGGGGGAUAACUACUCGAAAGAGUAGCUAAUACCGCAUACGAUCUAUGGAUGAAAGCGGGGGACCGUAAGGCCUCGCGCGAUUGGAGCUGCCGAUGUCAGAUUAGGUAGUUGGUGGGGUAAAGGCUCACCAAGCCAACGAUCUGUAGCUGGUCUGAGAGGACGACCAGCCACACUGGGACUGAGACACGGCCCAGACUCCUACGGGAGGCAGCAGUGGGGAAUUUUGGACAAUGGGCGCAAGCCUGAUCCAGCAAUGCCGCGUGCAUGAAGAAGGCCUUCGGGUUGUAAACUGCUUUUGUACGGAAAGAAACGGCUCUGGUUAAUACCCGGGGCUAAUGACGGUACCGUAAGAAUAAGCACCGGCUAACUACGUG
This 482-nucleotide ribosomal RNA is filed under the name uncultured bacterium. RNAcentral describes it as "partial 16S ribosomal RNA". It matches the Rfam family "Bacterial small subunit ribosomal RNA", at positions 30 to 507 of the family's 1533-position model. The record is from RNAcentral.